CGUUUGACCUCAAAUCAGGUAGGACUACCCGCUGAACUUAAGC
Molecule: ribosomal RNA, 43 nt
Filed under: Suillus luteus
Lineage: Eukaryota; Fungi; Basidiomycota; Agaricomycetes; Boletales; Suillaceae
Description: partial 28S ribosomal RNA
Source: RNAcentral